This 71-nucleotide transfer RNA is filed under the name Stegodyphus mimosarum. It matches the Rfam family "tRNA". From Rfam's summary of the family: Transfer RNA (tRNA) molecules are approximately 80 nucleotides in length. Their secondary structure includes four short double-helical elements and three loops (D, anti-codon, and T loops). Further hydrogen bonds mediate the characteristic L-shaped molecular structure. tRNAs have two regions of fundamental functional importance: the anti-codon, which is responsible for specific mRNA codon recognition, and the 3' end, to which the tRNAs corresponding amino acid is attached (by aminoacyl-tRNA synthetases). tRNAs cope with the degeneracy of the genetic code in two manners: having more than one tRNA (with a specific anti-codon) for a particular amino acid; and 'wobble' base-pairing, i.e. permitting non-standard base-pairing at the 3rd anti-codon position. Lineage: Eukaryota; Metazoa; Arthropoda; Arachnida; Araneae; Eresidae. The record is from Rfam by way of RNAcentral.
GUCUUUAUGGUGUAACGGUAGCACACUCGGCAUAUAUUCCAGAGGUCCAGGUUUGAGUCCCGGUGGUGGCA